AUUCAGCGGCGGACGGGUGAGUAAUGCCUAGGAAUCUGCCUGGUAGUGGGGGACAACGUCUCGAAAGGGACGCUAAUACCGCAUACGUCGACGGGAGAAAGCAGGGGACCUUCGGGCCUUGCGCUAUCAGAUGAGCCUAGGUCGGAUUAGCUAGUUGGUGAGGUAAUGGCUCACCAAGGCGACGAUCCGUAACUGGUCUGAGAGGAUGAUCAGUCACACUGGAACUGAGACACGGUCCAGACUCCUACGGGAGGCAGCAGUGGGGAAUAUUGGACAAUGGGCGAAAGCCUGAUCCAGCCAUGCCGCGUGUGUGAAGAAGGUCUUCGGAUUGUAAAGCACUUUAAGUUGGGAGGAAGGGUUGUAGAUUAAUACUCUGCAAUUUUGACGUUACCGACAGAAUAAGCACCGGCUAACUCUGUGCCAGCAGCCGCGGUAAUACAGAGGGUGCAAGCGUUAAUCGGAAUUACUGGGCGUAAAGCGCGCGUAGGUGGUUUGUUAAGUUGGAUGUGAAAGCCCCGGGCUCAACCUGGGAACUGCAUUCAAAACUGACAAGCUAGAGUAUGGUAGAGGGUGGUGGAAUUUCCUGUGUAGCGGUGAAAUGCGUAGAUAUAGGAAGGAACACCAGUGGCGAAGGCGACCACCUGGACUGAUACUGACACUGAGGUGCGAAAGCGUGGGGAGCAAACAGGAUUAGAUACCCUGGUAGUCCACGCCGUAAACGAUGUCAACUAGCCGUUGGGAGCCUCGAGCUCUAAGUGGCGCAGCUAACGCAUGAAGUGAACCCUUUGGGGAGGGCGG
Molecule: ribosomal RNA, 798 nt
Filed under: Pseudomonas koreensis
Lineage: Bacteria; Pseudomonadati; Pseudomonadota; Gammaproteobacteria; Pseudomonadales; Pseudomonadaceae
Description: bacterial SSU rRNA
Rfam family: Bacterial small subunit ribosomal RNA
Source: RNAcentral